This 382-nucleotide unclassified non-coding RNA is filed under the name Melitaea cinxia (Glanville fritillary). RNAcentral's name for it is "misc RNA ENSMCXG00005007527.1". The record is from RNAcentral. Lineage: Eukaryota; Metazoa; Arthropoda; Insecta; Lepidoptera; Nymphalidae.
GGCGUCCAAAUAAUGUGUCUUUAGAAAUCAACCCCUUUUUGGGGUUGAAACGGGGGAUGGUAGGUUGACUCACUGAUCACGAAAUCUCUGAAACUAUAACACCUACAAACUUGAAAUUUGGCAGAAAGGCUCUUUAUAAAGCGUAAACAUCCGUUAAGAACGGAUUUUACGAAACUCGAUCCCUAAAAGGUUAAAACGGGGGGUUGGAAGUUUGUAUGAAAGUCCUAUGUUUUAGAAGUAAAAGACUUAAAAUUUAAAAUGUAUGCUCUAUAGAUAAUGAGAAGGCGUCCAAAUAAUGUAUCUUUAGAAAUCAACCCCUUUUUGGGGUUAAAACGGGGAUGGUAGGUUGACUCAAUGAUCGCGAAAUCUCCGAAACUGUAAC